This 1078-nucleotide long non-coding RNA is filed under the name Salmo salar (Atlantic salmon). RNAcentral describes it as "lncRNA (ENSSSAG00000104068.1)". Lineage: Eukaryota; Metazoa; Chordata; Actinopteri; Salmoniformes; Salmonidae. The record is from RNAcentral.
GGGUCUACUCUGGACAGUUGAUAAGGAUCAGUAGUGGGUCUACUCUGGACAGUCGAUAAGGAUCAGUAGUGGGUCUACUCUGGACAGUUGAUAAGGAUCAGUAGUGGGUCUACUCUGGACAUUGAUAAGGAUAAGUAGUGGGUCUACUCUGGACAGUUUAUAAGGAUCAGUAGUGGGUCUACUCUCUACAGUUGAUAAGGAUCAGUAGUGGGUCUACUCUGGACAGUUUAUUAGGAUCAGUAGUGGGUCUACUCUGGACAGUUGAUAAGGAUCAGUAGUGUGUCUAGUCUGGACAGUUGAUAAGGAUCAGUAGGGGGUCUACUCUGGACAGUUGAUAAGGAUCAGUAGUGUGUCUACUCUGGACAGUUGAUAAGGAUCAGUAGUGGGUCUAUUCUGGACAGUUGAUAAGGAUCAGUAGUGGGUCUAUUCUGGACAGUUGAUAAGGAUCAGUAGGGGGUCUACUCUGGACAGUUGAUAAGGAUCAGUAGUGUGUCUACUCUGGACAGUUGAUAAGGAUCAGUAGUGGGUCUAUUCUGGACAGUUGAUAAGGAUCAGUAGUGGGUCUAUUCUGGACAGUUGAUAAGGAUCAGUAGUGGGUCUACUCUCCACAGUUGAUAAGGAUCAGUAGUGGGUCUACUCUCCACAGUUGAUAAUGAUCAGUAGUGGGUCUACUCUGGACAUUUGAUAAGGAUCAGUAGUGGGUCUACUCUCUACAGUUGAUAAGGAUCAGUAGUGGGUCUACUCUGGACAGUUGAUGAGGAUCAGUAGUGGGUCUACUCUGGACAGUUUAUAAGGAUCAGUAGUGGGUCUACUCUGGACAGUUGAUAAGGAUCAGUAGUGGGUCUACUCUGGACAGUUGAUAAGGAUCAGUUGUGGGUCUACUCUGGACAGUUGAUAAGGAUCAGUAGGGGGUCUACUCUCCACAGUUGAUAAGGAUCAGUAGUGGGUCUACUCUGGACAGUUGAUAAGGAUCAGUAGUGGGUCUACUCUGGACAGUUGAUAAGGAUCAGUAGUGGGUCUACUCUGGACAGUUGAUAAGGAUCAGUAGUGGGUCUAGUCUGGACAGUUGAUAAGGAUC